Molecule: long non-coding RNA, 1891 nt
Filed under: Salmo salar (Atlantic salmon)
Lineage: Eukaryota; Metazoa; Chordata; Actinopteri; Salmoniformes; Salmonidae
Description: lncRNA (ENSSSAG00000093492.1)
Source: RNAcentral
GUCUGGGCUGGGUGUGUGUGUGUGUGUGGGUGCAUGCACAUGUGUGUGUGGGAGUGUGGGCGGGUGGGUGCUCGUCUGUGCACGUGAGUGUGUGGGUGGUUGCGUGGGUGUUGGGGUGAGUGGGUGCAUGGUUCUCAGUGGCUGAGUGCACAUGUGACUACGUAAGUGUGUGUGUGUUAGUCUCUGUGUGUAUAGAAAAGGUGAAACGUGUGUGUGUAUAAGGCAUAGGUAUUUGUAUUUCAGAAUCUGAGCCUUUGUGUUUAAACGUUUUUUAAAAACUCAAACAAAUUCACAGACACAAUCUCUCAUACUUACCACUAAUAUACACACACACACGCGCGCACACACGCACACACACGCACACACACGCACACGCACACACACACACACAAUUUCACACUCAGCAUCGGGCGUUUGCCUGAUCUAGCUUCCUCCUUGCUUUGUGAGUAACCCGCAGCAAUAAAAUAAACACAAAUAUGUGAUAAUCACAUUCUUCACAUAGCUGGUGGGAAGUUUCGGCUGGUUCUCCACAAGAGGAGGGGUGUGUGCAUAUGUGUGUGUAUGUGUGUGUGCAUGUGUAUGUGUGCGUGUACUCGUGCGUGUGCUCGUGUGUGUGUGUGUGUGUCAUUCCUCUGUUCUCUGGAGGCCCCACAGAGAAAGAAAGAGUUAUGGAACAAAUAGGUCUCACACAUUACACAACAGUACCACCAAUACAAACCAUCAGCUCAGUUAUACUCCCAGUACAAACCAUCAUGUCAGAAAUCCUCCCAGUACAAACCACCAGGUCAGACAUCCUCCCAGUACAAAACAUCAGCUCAGAUAUCCUCCCAGUACAAACCAUCAGCUCAGAUAUCCUCCCAGUACAAACCAUCAGGUCAUAUAUCCUCCCAGUACAAACCAGAUAUACUCCCAGUACAAACCAGAUAUACUCCCAGUACAAACCAUCAGGUCAGGAAUCCUCCCAGUACAAACCACCAGGUCAGACAUCCUCCCAGUACAAAACAUCAGCUCAGAUAUCCUCCCAGUACAAACCAGAUAUACUCCCAGUACAAAACAGAUAUAAUCCCAGUACAAAACAGAUAUUCUCCCAGUACAAACCAUCAGGUCAGACAUACUCCCAGUACAAACCAUCAGGUCAGAUAUACUCCCAGUACAAACCAAUUAUACUCCCAGUACAAACCAUCAGGUCAGAUAUCCUCCCAGUACAAACCAUCAGGUCAGAUAUACUCCCAGUACAAACCAAUUAUACUCCCAGUACAAACCAUCAGGUCAGAUAUCCUCCCAGUACAAACCAUCAGGUCAGAAAUCCUCCCAGUACAAACCAUCAGGUCAGAUAUCAUCCCAGUACAAACCAGAUAUACUCCCAGUACAAACCAGAUAUACUCCCAGUACAAACCAAUAUACUCCCAGUACAAACCAGAUAUCAUCCCAGUACAAACCAGAUAUACUCCCAAUACAAACCAAAUACACUUCCAUUACAAACCAGAUAUACUUCCAGUACAAACCAGAUACACUUCCAAUACAAACCAGAUAUACUCCCAGUACAAACCAGAUACACUUCCAAUACAAGCCAGGUACACUUCCAGUACAAACCAGAUAUACUCCCAAUACAAACCAGAUACACUCCCAGUACAAACCAGAUACACUUCCAGUACAAACCAGAUAUACUCCCAAUACAAACCAGAUAUGCUCCCAGUACAAACCAGAUAUACUCCCAGUACAAACCAGAUAUACUCCCAGUACAAACCAGAUACACUUCCAGUACAAACCAGAUACACUUCCAAUACAAACCAGGUACACUUCCAAUACAAACCAGGUACACUUCCAGUACAAACCAGAUAUACUCCCUGUACAAGGCAGAUGCACUUCCAGUACAAACCAGAUAUACUCC